UGUUYUUUGAAUUUUUAUAAAGAAUAAAACCUGCCCAGUGAAUUUUAUUUUAAACGGCCGCAGAAUUUUAACUGUGCUAAGGUAGCAUAAUCAUUUGCCUUUUAAUUAAAGGCUUGUAUGAAUGGUUUAACGAAAAUUAAGCUAUUUUUUUUAUAUUAUAUAAAAUUUAAUCUCUACGUAAAAAAGCUUAGAUUUAAUAAAAAGACAAAAAGACCCUAUAGAGUUUUAUUUUUUAUUUUAAAUUUAAUUUAAAAUAAAAAUUUUGUUGGGGAAACUAAAAAAAAUAUUUUUUUUAUGAGAAAAAAUAUAAUUUAUCAUUAAUUAAAUAAAUAAAAAUAAAUUACCUUAGGGAUAACAGCAUAACUUUUCUUUAAGAGCCCAAAUCGAAAAGAAAAAUUAUGACCUCGAUGUUGGAUUAAAAUAACUUAAAAUAGAAAAAAAUUUUAAAGGUAGUCUGUUCGACUAAUAAUAUUUUACAU
RNAcentral lists this ribosomal RNA (479 nucleotides) under Halomeniinae sp. 1 FB-2018. Its description in RNAcentral is "partial 16S ribosomal RNA". It matches the Rfam family "Bacterial large subunit ribosomal RNA", at positions 1828 to 2601 of the family's 2925-position model. Lineage: Eukaryota; Metazoa; Mollusca; Solenogastres; Cavibelonia; Pruvotinidae. The record is from RNAcentral.